GAUGAACGCUAGCUACAGGCUUAACACAUGCAAGUCGAGGGGAAACGGCAUUGAGUGCUUGCACUCUUUGGACGUCGACCGGCGCACGGGUGAGUAACGCGUAUCCAACCUUCCCAUUACUGUGGGAUAACCUGCCGAAAGGCAGACUAAUACCGCAUAGUCUUCGAUGACGGCAUCAGAUUUGAAGUAAAGAUUUAUCGGUAAUGGAUGGGGAUGCGUCUGAUUAGCUUGUUGGCGGGGUAACGGCCCACCAAGGCUACGAUCAGUAGGGGUUCUGAGAGGAAGGUCCCCCACAUUGGAACUGAGACACGGUCCAAACGCCUACGGGAGGCAGCAGUGAGGAAUAUUGGUCAAGGGACGGAAGUCUGAACCAGCCAAGUAGCGUGCAGGAUGACGGCCCUAUGGGUUGUAAACUGCUUUUGUAUGGGGAUAAAGUUAGGGACGGGUCCCUAUUUGCAGGUACCAUACGAAUAAGGACCGGCUAAUUCCGUG
Molecule: ribosomal RNA, 492 nt
Filed under: uncultured bacterium
Lineage: Bacteria
Description: partial 16S ribosomal RNA
Rfam family: Bacterial small subunit ribosomal RNA
Source: RNAcentral